RNAcentral lists this ribosomal RNA (460 nucleotides) under uncultured bacterium. RNAcentral describes it as "partial 16S ribosomal RNA". It matches the Rfam family "Bacterial small subunit ribosomal RNA", at positions 338 to 795 of the family's 1533-position model. The record is from RNAcentral.
CCUACGGGAGGCUGCAGUGAGGAAUAUUGGUCAAUGGACGUAAGUCUGAACCAGCCAUGCCGCGUGCAGGAAGACGGCUCUAUGAGUUGUAAACUGCUUUUGUACGAGGGUAAACGCAGAUACGUGUAUCUGUCUGAAAGUAUCGUACGAAUAAGGAUCGGCUAACUCCGUGGCAGCAGCCGCGGUAAUACGGAGGAUUCAAGCGUUAGCCGGAUUUAUUGGGUUUAAAGGGUUCGUAGGCGGUCGGAUAAGUUAGAGGUGAAAUCCCGAGGCUCAACUUCGGAAUUGCCUUUGAUACUGUCCGACUAGAGAGUACGUGCGGUAGGCGGAAUGUAUGGUGUAGCGGUGAAAUGCUUAGAGAUCAUACAGAACACCGAUUGCGAAGGCAGCUUACCAAGCUACUUCUGACGUUGAGGCACGAAAGCGUGGGGAGCAAACAGGAUUAGAUACCCCAGUAGUC